This 496-nucleotide ribosomal RNA is filed under the name uncultured bacterium. Its description in RNAcentral is "partial 16S ribosomal RNA". It matches the Rfam family "Bacterial small subunit ribosomal RNA", at positions 28 to 506 of the family's 1533-position model. The record is from RNAcentral.
GAUGAACGCUGGCGGCGUGCCUAAUACAUGCAAGUCGAGCGAACAGACGAGGAGCUUGCUCCUCUGACGUUAGCGGCGGACGGGUGAGUAACACGUGGAUAACCUACCUAUAAGACUGGGAUAACUUCGGGAAACCGGAGCUAAUACCGGAUAAUAUAUUGAACCGCAUGGUUCAAUAGUGAAAGACGGUUUUGCUGUCACUUAUAGAUGGAUCCGCGCCGCAUUAGCUAGUUGGUAAGGUAACGGCUUACCAAGGCAACGAUGCGUAGCCGACCUGAGAGGGUGAUCGGCCACACUGGAACUGAGACACGGUCCAGACUCCUACGGGAGGCAGCAGUAGGGAAUCUUCCGAAAUGGGCGAAAGCCUGACGGAGCAACGCCGCGUGAGUGAUGAAGGGCUGCGGAUCGUAAAACUCUGUUAUUAGGGAAGAACAAAUGUGUAAGUAACUAUGCACGUCUUGACGGUACCUAAUCAGAAAGCCACGGCUAACUACGU